GAAGGGAGAGCAUCCCUUGGACUGAAGGUGCUUCCCAAGAGGGGAUGCUGUGUGGCCAAGGAGCCUCUUCACCAGUUGGGACUGCCUCAAGGAUCUGACAGGAGGAAUUGAGUAUGCUGCCAAGAUAUUAAAUGAAAUUCCCCAGAAAGACAUUCAGUGCACUAAAAGAGCCUCAAAGGCAGAAAGGGAAGGAAAUGGGCAAGUGAUACCCACAGAGGCUCCACCUGAUGGGGAUCCAAUUGCAGUGAGAAGCAGAGCCACUGAUGCAGGGUAUGUUGAUGAUAACUGCACACCUUGGCCAGCUUUCCCACCACCUCCUGUGUGCUAAGGCAGCAUCACUGGCAG
Lagopus muta (rock ptarmigan) is the source of this 345-nucleotide long non-coding RNA. RefSeq lists it as uncharacterized. NCBI's taxonomy places the organism in Eukaryota, Metazoa, Chordata, Aves, Galliformes, Phasianidae. The record is from RefSeq and is a predicted model, not a curated record. The transcript has 3 exons.